AGAGUUUGAUCCUGGCUCAGAUUGAACGCUGGCGGCAUGCCUUACACAUGCAAGUCGAACGGUAACGGGCCUUCGGGCGCCGACGAGUGGCGAACGGGUGAGUAAUGCAUCGGAACGUACCUUCAGUGGGGGAUAACGUAGCGAAAGUUACGCUAAUACCGUAUAUUCUGUGAGCAGGAAAGCAGGGGGAUCGCAAGACCUUGCGCUGAUUGAGCGGCCGAUGUCAGAUUAGCUAGUUGGUGAGGUAAAGGCUCACCAAGGCGACGAUCUGUAGCGGGUCUGAGAGGAUGAUCCGCCACACUGGAACUGAGACACGGUCCAGACUCCUACGGGAGGCAGCAGUGGGGAAUUUUGGACAAUGGGGGCAACCCUGAUCCAGCCAUGCCGCGUGAGUGAAGAAGGCCUUCGGGUUGUAAAGCUCUUUCGGCCGGGAAGAAAUCGUAUGGGCUAAUACCCUGUGCGGAUGACGGUACCGGCAUAAGAAGCACCGGCUAACUACGUG
This 502-nucleotide ribosomal RNA is filed under the name uncultured bacterium. Its description in RNAcentral is "bacterial SSU rRNA". It matches the Rfam family "Bacterial small subunit ribosomal RNA", at positions 8 to 507 of the family's 1533-position model. The record is from RNAcentral.